ACUUAAUACACACGGCUCUUCUCGGUAAAAGGCUCAGUGGGGCUGGGUAUUGUGAAACAGAAACUUUGACAUGCGCACUUGUUUGUGGAUGGAUGUAUUCAACAAUCCGUAUAAAAAGGAUCCUCCAAAAAUUUUCAGUCCAGUCAAGAAGUUCGCCAAGAUGAAGUUAUCAUUAUUAAUUUUCUUCAUUGGACUACUUGUUGGGCAUUGCAUGACACAGCGGGAAACAUGGCCGUAUUUACCAAAUGAAACAUAUCAUUGCCCAGCAUGCGGACACUCGGUAGUUAAAGCGGAGGGCGUGACCGGCAUACAAGAAAUAAUAGAGAGAGACCACCAUCCUAAUUAUAAUACCGCUGAAAAUAAAGCGCCGCUCGACGUGUUGUGCCAUUUAGCUUGUGCUAGUGUUUUUUUUCCAUGUGGAACUAUUCGUAAGCCAAACGAACCCAGACGCAAAGAUAGUUGUGGAAAGCGUUAUAAGAAAAUGUCCCGACGAUGAGAACAGCCAUACUGGAUGUAUGUCAAUUUUGCCAUCAUCAACUAUCUCCGACCCAGCUCUUGUUAACUUGAUUGUCACUAGAAAUAACACUACCGCUAUGUGGUGUAACACUGCCACGCCCAAAACGUUCGACUUAACGAUACACGAAGACGACGUAACCAAAGGACUUGACAAUCACUCAAGCAGGAAUUCUGCUGAUAGUUUAAUGUUUGCCUUGAUUAUUGCUACUUUUAUUUGUGCAUAUUCUUCUGUCUAGAAAGACAUUUCACAUGUAAAUUAAUGAAUAAAUCAGACAUUCUAUCA
Dreissena polymorpha is the source of this 799-nucleotide long non-coding RNA. RefSeq lists it as uncharacterized. The transcript is spliced from 3 exons. Lineage: Eukaryota; Metazoa; Mollusca; Bivalvia; Myida; Dreissenidae. The record is from RefSeq and is a predicted model, not a curated record.